Molecule: ribosomal RNA, 446 nt
Filed under: uncultured bacterium
Lineage: Bacteria
Description: bacterial SSU rRNA
Rfam family: Bacterial small subunit ribosomal RNA
Source: RNAcentral
GCCAGACUCCUACGGGAGGCAGCAGUGGGGGAUAUUGCACAAUGGGGGGAACCCUGAUGCAGCGACGCCGCGUGGGUGAAGGAGUGCUUCGGCAUGUAAAGCCCUAUCGGCAGGGAAGAAGCAAGACGGUACCUGACUAAGAAGCCCCGGCUAACUACGUGCCAGCAGCCGCGGGAAUACGUAGGGGGCAAGCGUUAUCCGGAUUUACUGGGUGUAAAGGGAGCGUAGACGGAAUUGCAAGUCUGAUGUGAAAAUCCGGGGCCCAACCCCGGAACUGCAUUGGGAACUACCGGGCUGGAGUGCCGGAGAGGUAGGCGGAAUUCCUAGUGUAGCGGUGAAAUGCGUAGAUAUUAGGAGGAACACCAGUGGCGAAGGCGGCCUACUGGACGGUGACUGACGCUGAGGCUCGAAAGCGUGGGGAGCAAACAGGAUUAGAUACCCUAGUA